GUAGGAAUCUGAUAAUUGUAUUUUCUACUGCAUAAAACAAAUAGAGAAGGAAAAUAUUUGGAUUAUGGCAGUAUUAUCUUUUCUUUAAUUGUUAUGUGAUUCUUUUCUUUUAAAAAAGGAACUCCAAGAUAAAAGCCAGCCAUCUUUCAAAUGCUUGUUACUUGUUUCAAAAGCUUGUUGCUUUGUUAUGAACUACUAGAUCUAGAAAGAGUGUUCCCCUAGCCAAAAGGAGGAAUCUAAUUAAGUGUGGAGAAGGGCAAAUAUGACCUAAUUUGGUGUUUAGAUUCUUUCUUUUCUGUUGUAAGUAUGAACCUGAAAUUUUAAUGCAUGUUCACAACUUAGAGCUGAAAAAUGAAGAGUCACUGGGCUUUGAACAAGUUCAAGUGGAUGUGUGUGACAAGCCUGAAGCAGAAAUAUAGGGAAGGUAUUAUUUGUGAACUCAGAGUUGCUCUGAGUUUCAUUUUUUUAGCAGAGUGCUCGAUAAGGAUUUAGUUUUCCUGGGACAGACAAGUGCCCCAUUUGGACUGCACAUUGCAUAUUUGUGUAUUGUUAUGCCUCAUACAGCAAAUAGUGGGAUAUGAGAGAAAAAGCAUCUUUUGAAAACAAAGAAUUCUGAGGGUCACUUUUAAAAAGCACGUGUUGAAGGUUCUUAAUGUUAGAAGCUGAAAACUUGUGGAAUUCCUAAUGGUAUUAUUAAGCACAGGCAGCCUGCUGGCCUGCCAAAGCAAUUAGUUAAGUGUGUGUCUCUUCGUUAAGUCAAAGAAGCGGAAGGAAAGAGAGCUGAUUUUUUGCCUCUAGCAAAACGUAUUUUUUUCCAUUGUUGUUUUAGCAGCACAUCAGCAUUUACAUAACAAAUUGUGUGAUAUAGAUUCUGUUGCCUCUUGUUAGGCUGUUGUCAACUGGGCUAAUUUGGAAAUGGGGCUGUCUUUGCAAUGAGAAACAGCCAUCUGCUUUCUUACUAAGAAGAGGCCUUAGAUCUAACCCCCUGAUUUACUCCUGUAAAGCCUCUUAGAAGAAUAUUUCUAGAAUACUAGAACAAGUAUGCACCUGAGUACAACACAUUUCACAAAUGACACUUAAAUCAGUUAUGUCGUCAAAGAGAGCUGUUUUGGGAAGUCAAGAGCAUAACUUAGAACAUUACGCUAUAAAUAUCUUCAUGUAACUGUUGAAUUGCUGCAACUGUAUGAAUUGUAUUUGAUUUUGUAAAACUGCUUAGGAAAUUGACUGAAAACAUGGCAAUCAUAAACCACUGUUUUUAAAUUGUGUACUUAAAAAGUUAGUUCUUUUUUUAACUCCAGAAGAAGAAAACAAAAGUAUAAACUUUAGUUAAAUCAAACUCUCGUAAGGUGUAGCAUUUGUGAAUCUUUCUUUCCUUUUCCUUUUUUCUCUCUUUUCUGUUUCCAGGAUCUCACAUGUAGUUAAUACUGAUUAUUUGGGGUUUUUUAAUCCUACUUCUAAGUUCAAGAAUAUAUGCAGUUAACCAGAGGAUGUGCAUAAGAGAGCAGAACCGUCAGAUAAGUUGGUAUCAGACUCAGUUUUACAACCCUUUUGAAGAAGAAAAUGUUUACAGACUAACUCAUUUUUUACAAAUAUAUGAAAAUAGGAAAAAAUGGGUUUGAAAGUAGGAAAGUUUAGUACACUCAAGUCAAUGCAAGGUCAUGCUUCCUAUUUCAUGUCUCAUAGGAUAAAACCAAAUUUUUUUUUUACAGGACUUAUUACACCAAUAAUUCUUGCAGAAGGCCAUGUAAGAGAAAGACAGUCAUUGCAGGCAGAAAUUUCUGGGUUGCUUAAGAUUUAAGGUGGGUGUGUUUUCAGCCAAAUCUGCCUGCCCCCCCAAAGCCCAAGGAAGGUCAUGCUUCUGCUUCUUAAGGAGGAGAACAGCCUUCCAAAGGCAUCACUCUGCUGCUCUGUAAGAAGUAAAGUGAUUCCUGGUCCUUGCCUCUACAAAUGGCAAAAGUUUCUAGAAGGGCUGCCACAGGGUGUUAAUUUCUGGUCUAUCCCAGCACCUUAAAUUGCCUUUUCCUCAUUCAAGAUCCAUAAGAAAUUCCCUGUGCUGGGUAGCUAUGGGGCUGAGGUCUACACAUACAAAGUCCUUGUUUCUUUUGGACAGAAUAUUCUUAAUGCAGGCAUAAAGCCCACACGUGUAUCAGUCUUCGGUCGAAAGAGAGGCAGCAUUCAUACCUCAGAAAGGUUCAUACUUUUAAAUAAUCUACGUUGUGUUAAUGCUAACAAUCUCAGCUUAGAGAGUCACGGUUACUAGUGACUAUUUUUGCAUUUUACCUGUGUGGCUGCAUGUUCUCAAGGCAUUUCGGUGCAGACAGAUUGAGAAUGAGCCUUUAGUUACCAAGUAACCUCAAUUUCCAGUAUUCAACCAUAGCCUGGCUUGAGGAAUGCCACUCUCCUCGGACCACAGCUCGUCACACUGGCUGCAGGAAAUCCCAGAAUCAGAAUGGGUAAAGUUGGAAAGGACCACAGUGGGUCAUCUGGUCCAACCUGCCUGCUCAAGCAGAGUCUCCUGAAGCAUAUGGCACAGGAUUGUGUCCGGAUGUUUCUUGAAUAUCUCCAGUGAGACGGACUCCACAACCUCUCUGGGCAACAUGUUUCAGUGCAUGGUCACUUGCAUAGUAAAGAAGUUAUUGCUCAUAUUCAGGUGGAACUUCCUGUACAUCAGUUUCCGCCCGUUGCCUCUUGUCCUAUUGGUUGGUACCACCAAGAAGAGCCUGGCUCCAUCCCCUUUUGGGGAUACUUACUGAAAGUAUCAGGAAUACUUCCGGAUACUUACUGAUAAAAUCAAAUUACAAGUAACUGUAACCUGAGCUAAACAGCAGGUAGAGGUAGAGAUUAUCCUCCACCUGUGAAGACCAAAGACAUGGAGUAGCUUGUGGUACAUCACUGUGAAGAGUUUGGGUGGGAACCUCUCAUUUUCUGGAACUAUGUAAAGAAAAAGUAUCUCCCCUUUGCCCCUGGACCAUUAUUCAGAAAUCAUCUAGCUGGCUGAAACUUCACUUUCCUCCAGGAGCAAUAUUGUAGAGAAUUGUAUCUUCUUUAGUGUACAAAAUUGCUCUGACAGCUUAUCACUGCUUGUUUAACAGCUGACUGUUCUCACUUUCUUUAGGAGCUAGAUAAUAAGCACAGUGAAACAAUUAUUGUGCUCCAUUGAUGCGCUAACCCUCAAAGCCUCUUUGCUGUUGAGUUCCAAAAACCAGCUUCAUUCACUCUUAAUUGAGGUUUGUCUUCCAGAGCUUCUGCAGGAUGAUGAUUCUUCAAUCAUAGCAGCCACAAUUAUAUUCACUGAGUCAUGGACAGUUAUUUUCAACAGACCUACCUGUAACGCUUUGGCGUAAGUUAAAGGUGAUGGCUGAAUCUCUUCAUUUUAUCAAAAUUUUGCGCAUAGAAGUGUAGGACUGGAAAAAACAAAACAAAACUGCUGGAUCAGAGUGCAGUCUUCUCUAACUGCAGAAAACAAAGCAAUAGACAUUAAUUUCAGGAUUAGAGAAUACCUCCUUCAUCUCUCUCCACAUACCAAGGCCCACAGGGCCAACUUCCUGUCAAGAUUUGAAAACUUUAAAAUUUUGGUAAAAGAUGAAAAGCUACAGUGAUAGUUGGACUACAAGAACAUCAUAAGAGAGAUCAAGAGUACCACCAAUGUCUUAGAUACUUUCAAAGAUAAAGACUGAACUCCUCGAAAAAUAAUCUUCCACUGUGUUUACAGUUGUGGGGUUUGGUGGUCCAUAUUAAUUCUCUAUUCCUUGGGUUUAUUUAAGGUAAAGCAGAAUGUCAACCUCUUUUCAGUUACCUCAAGAAACAGAUAACAUGAAGUUUCAUUUCCCUCGGGUCUCCUUUAAUUCUGUUUAAUAGACCUAAAGCUGUCCAACAAUGGUUUGCCAUAUCCUGGGCUGCAUCGUUUUUAGCAGAACUCUCUUCCAGCUCAUGUUUGUGAGCUCAAAAAUGUAAGUCACAGACAUCCUAACUGAGGAUGCAGGUUGCUCUGUAAUUAAUCCUGGAAGGGGCACCAGGAAGCCAAAUAGAAUCCAUCAAUCUAAAUUUAGUUGUUAAAAGUCUGGAAAAAUACCUCAUACUUUUAGAGUUCCAUGAGAAUUAUCUGCUCAGCCCUGGAAGUAGUUCUAGGAAAAGGCUGAGUUUACUUGAAAUGCAACUCAAACACACUUGAAUCCUUCAACAGCCACUUCAAAACAGAGAAGGCUCUUGGCACUGUGUCUGAUGGAGCAGAAGGUCUGUGCUGAACCUCGCUUGUAGGCAACUCUGUGUACUACUGCUCUCUACUUGUGGGAGCUGCACUCUGUUGUGCAACCAAAACACCUGCCUAAGUGGUCAGCUGGAUCUUCCUCAUUCCAAGACUCUUCUCUGCUACAUGGGGUGGCAGUGUUGGCUAUGCUUUCUGGGAGGACCUAUUUUGGGAACAGCCAUACUCCAGGAAGCCGCUGGGACUUACCAGCCCCUGGGAGGAUGCUGAGAGCAGAUAAAAUUGAAACAGCUUGCAAGGAGUUCUGUGGCACUGCUGAGAACCUGGCUCAGAUUAUCACCUGGACUCAGCUUGGCCUUGUGGAAUCUAUCUUUGGAAGCAGUGGCGGCAGUGCUGGAGUCAGUGUUGUGCAGCUACGAAGGAUGGAGCUGUCAAAGUGGAUUUGGAGCUGGAUUUGAAGAUCGGUUUAAAUUUGUAAAUUUAAAAGUGGAGAAGUAUGCCCACAGGUUUCCAAUAAAAAAAAUGGAGACAUCACUUUUGGUACAUCCUCUGGACUUUAAAACUUCAUUGGC
Molecule: long non-coding RNA, 4776 nt
Organism: Chiroxiphia lanceolata (lance-tailed manakin)
Lineage: Eukaryota; Metazoa; Chordata; Aves; Passeriformes; Pipridae
Exons: 3
Source: RefSeq, a predicted model, not a curated record